UGGUGGAGCGAUUUGUCUGGUUAAUUCCGAUAACGAACGAGACUCUAGCCUAUUAAAUAGUUCGCCGAUCCAUCUUGUCGGCGUCAACUUCUUAGAGG
Molecule: ribosomal RNA, 98 nt
Filed under: uncultured eukaryote
Lineage: Eukaryota
Description: partial 18S ribosomal RNA
Rfam family: Eukaryotic small subunit ribosomal RNA
Source: RNAcentral